This 906-nucleotide ribosomal RNA is filed under the name Brasilonema bromeliae SPC951. RNAcentral describes it as "bacterial SSU rRNA". It matches the Rfam family "Bacterial small subunit ribosomal RNA", at positions 1 to 949 of the family's 1533-position model. The record is from RNAcentral. Lineage: Bacteria; Bacillati; Cyanobacteriota; Cyanophyceae; Nostocales; Scytonemataceae.
AAAACGGAGAGUUUGAUCCUGGCUCAGGAUGAACGCUGGCGGUAUGCUUAACACAUGCAAGUCGAACGGAGUUCUUCGGAACUUAGUGGCGGACGGGUGAGUAACGCGUGAGAAUCUGGCAAAAGGUUCGGGACAACAGUUGGAAACGGCUGCUAAUACCGGAUGUGCCUUCGGGUGAAAGAUUAAUUGCCUUUUGAUGAGCUCGCGUCUGAUUAGCUAGUUGGUGUGGUAAGAGCGCACCAAGGCGACGAUCAGUAGCUGGUCUGAGAGGAUGACCAGCCACACUGGGACUGAGACACGGCCCAGACUCCUACGGGAGGCAGCAGUGGGGAAUUUUCCGCAAUGGGCGAAAGCCUGACGGAGCAAUACCGCGUGAGGGAAGAAGGCUCUUGGGUUGUAAACCUCUUUUCUCAGGGAAUAAGUACUGAAGGUACCUGAGGAAUCAGCAUCGGCUAACUCCGUGCCAGCAGCCGCGGUAAUACGGAGGAUGCAAGCGUUAUCCGGAAUGAUUGGGCGUAAAGCGUCCGCAGGUGGUUUUUCAAGUCUGCUGUCAAAGAGUCUGGCUCAACCAGAUAAAGGCAGUGGAAACUGAGAGACUAGAGUAUGGUAGGGGCAGAGGGAAUUCCUGGUGUAGCGGUGAAAUGCGUAGAGAUCAGGAAGAACACCGGUGGCGAAAGCGCUCUGCUGGACCGCAACUGACACUGAGGGACGAAAGCUAGGGGAGCGAAUGGGAUUAGAUACCCCAGUAGUCCUAGCCGUAAACGAUGGAUACUAGGCGUUGCCCGUAUCGACCCGGGCAGUGUCGUAGCCAACGCGUUAAGUAUCCCGCCUGGGGAGUACGCACGCAAGUGUGAAACUCAAAGGAAUUGACGGGGGCCCGCACAAGCGGUGGAGUAUGUGGUUUAA